RNAcentral lists this ribosomal RNA (497 nucleotides) under uncultured bacterium. Its description in RNAcentral is "partial 16S ribosomal RNA". It matches the Rfam family "Bacterial small subunit ribosomal RNA", at positions 28 to 507 of the family's 1533-position model. The record is from RNAcentral.
GACGAACGCUGGCGGCGUGCCUAAUACAUGCAAGUAGAACGCUGAAGAGAGGAGCUUGCUCUUCUUGGAUGAGUUGCGAACGGGUGAGUAACGCGUAGGUAACCUGCCUGGUAGCGGGGGAUAACUAUUGGAAACGAUAGCUAAUACCGCAUGAAAUUGCUUAUCGCAUGAUAAUUGAUUGAAAGAUGCAAUUGCAUCACUACCAGAUGGACCUGCGUUGUAUUAGCUAGUUGGUGAGGUAACGGCUCACCAAGGCGACGAUACAUAGCCGACCUGAGAGGGUGAUCGGCCACACUGGGACUGAGACACGGCCCAGACUCCUACGGGAGGCAGCAGUAGGGAAUCUUCGGCAAUGGGGGGAACCCUGACCGAGCAACGCCGCGGGAGUGAAGAAGGUUUUCGGAUCGUAAAGCUCUGUUGUAAGAGAAGAACGGGUGUGAGAGUGGAAAGUUCACACUGUGACGGUAUCUUACCAGAAAGGGACGGCUAACUACGUG